This 465-nucleotide ribosomal RNA is filed under the name Vreelandella stevensii. Its description in RNAcentral is "partial 16S ribosomal RNA". It matches the Rfam family "Bacterial small subunit ribosomal RNA", at positions 338 to 795 of the family's 1533-position model. Lineage: Bacteria; Pseudomonadati; Pseudomonadota; Gammaproteobacteria; Oceanospirillales; Halomonadaceae. The record is from RNAcentral.
CCUACGGGAGGCAGCAGUGGGGAAUAUUGGACAAUGGGGGCAACCCUGAUCCAGCCAUGCCGCGUGUGUGAAGAAGGCCCUCGGGUUGUAAAGCACUUUCAGUGAGGAAGAACGCCUGGUGGUUAAUACCCAUCAGGAAAGACAUCACUCACAGAAGAAGCACCGGCUAACUCCGUGCCAGCAGCCGCGGUAAUACGGAGGGUGCGAGCGUUAAUCGGAAUUACUGGGCGUAAAGCGCGCGUAGGUGGCUUGAUAAGCCGGUUGUGAAAGCCCCGGGCUCAACCUGGGAACGGCAUCCGGAACUGGCAAGCUAGAGUGCAGGAGAGGAAGGUAGAAUUCCCGGUGUAGCGGUGAAAUGCGUAGAGAUCGGGAGGAAUACCAGUGGCGAAGGCGGCCUUCUGGACUGACACUGACACUGAGGUGCGAAAGCGUGGGUAGCAAACAGGAUUAGAUACCCUUGUAGUC